RNAcentral lists this transfer RNA (70 nucleotides) under Acropyga pallida. RNAcentral's name for it is "tRNA-Cys". Lineage: Eukaryota; Metazoa; Arthropoda; Insecta; Hymenoptera; Formicidae. The record is from RNAcentral.
AUCUUUAUAGUUUAUUUAAGGUUAAAAUAUUAAAUUGCAAGUUUAAAGAAUUUUUUAAAAAAUUAAGAUU